GAUGAAGAACGUAGCGAAAUGCGAUAAGUAAUGCGAAUUGCAGAAUUUCCGUGAGUCACCGAAUCUUUGAACGCACAUUGCGCCCCUUGGUAUUCCGGGGGGCAUGCCUCUUCCAGCGUCAUUUCACCCCUCAAGCUCUGCUUGGUUUUGGGCCGCGCCGGCAACGGCGGGCCUCGAAAAUAGUGGCGACGCCAUCGUGCUCUCAGCGUAGUAAUUCUUCUCGCUGUUGGGUCCCGGUGGUCGUCCGCCAGCAACCCCCAACUUUCUUAAGUUUGACCUGGGAUGAGGUAGGGAUACCCGCUGAACUUAAGCAUAUCAAUAAGCGGAGGA
RNAcentral lists this unclassified non-coding RNA (330 nucleotides) under soil metagenome. RNAcentral's name for it is "partial contains 5.8S ribosomal RNA, internal transcribed spacer 2, and large subunit ribosomal RNA". The stretch from base 1 to 121 matches the Rfam family "5.8S ribosomal RNA", at positions 35 to 154 of the family's 154-position model. The record is from RNAcentral.